RNAcentral lists this transfer RNA (75 nucleotides) under Gammaproteobacteria bacterium. RNAcentral describes it as "tRNA-Gln". It matches the Rfam family "tRNA". Rfam says of the family: Transfer RNA (tRNA) molecules are approximately 80 nucleotides in length. Their secondary structure includes four short double-helical elements and three loops (D, anti-codon, and T loops). RNAcentral also lists the same sequence under 2 other names. The record is from RNAcentral. Lineage: Bacteria; Pseudomonadati; Pseudomonadota; Gammaproteobacteria.
UGGGGUGUCGCCAAGUGGUAAGGCAGAGGCUUUUGAUGCCUCCAUGCGUAGGUUCGAAUCCUACCACCCCAGCCA